UAUCAAAGACCAAUAGGCCGAAUUGAGGCCCAAUUUCGACGAACACCCUCUCUCUCUCUCUCUCUCUCUCUCUCUCUCUCACGCGAGAGAAGGCGCCUCUGCACUACUCUGUCCUUAAUCCUAAUCCUAACCCACCAUCAAUGGCGGCGCUUAGAACCCUAACGACCGCUCGGAGCUCCUCCGCGUCCUCCUCGUCGCAGUCGUCUCCAUCCCUCUCCCUCUUCCUCCUCCUCCUCGUCCGGUGCCGCCGCUUCUCCGCCUCCUCUCCGGCGGCGGCGCCGCCUCCUACGCCGACGCCGUUCAUGGCGCAGUAUCUGGUGGAUCGCGUCGGCUUCCCCCCCGACAAGGCCCUCUACGCCGCGUCCCGCUCCCUCUCCGGCCUCUCCUCCCCGGCCCGACCCGACGCCGUCGUCUCCUUCCUCCGCGGGAGCGCCUCCCUCUCCCCUCCCCAGAUCCUCCGCUUCGUCCGCUGCCGCCCCUCCAUCCUCGCCGCCGACGUCCCCUCCAACCUCCUCCCCAAGCUCUCCCUCUUCCGCUCGCUCCUCCCCGGCGCCGGCGCCGGCGCCGGAGCCGCAGAAGCCCCCAGCGAGCUCGCGGCGCUCGUCACCGCGUGCGCCUCCGCCUUCGGCUACAGCGCCGCGCGCCUCGCCCGCUCCCUCGCCUUCCUCCGCGACCUCUAUGGCGGCGACGACUGCGGGGUCGUCUUCGCCCUCCGCCGCUGCCCCCGCCUCCUCUCCAACGACCCCGACCGCGUCCUCUCACGCAACCUCGCCGCCGUCCGCUACCUCUACGGCAGCGGCCGCGACCCUCUGCCGCUCAUCAAGAAGGCCCCCGUCCUCCUCACCAGCUCCCCGGAGCGCAUCGCCCUCCUCUUCCGCGCCGCCGAGGAGGUGAUCGGGGUCGGCCCCGAAUCCGACUUGUUCCCCGACGCCAUCGGCGCCGUCGCCCCGCUAAGCCCCGAGACCUUCUCCAACAGGGUCGGGAUGCUCCGGUCCUACGGCUUGGAAAACACCGAUAUCCAAUUCCUGUUCCGGCACUCCCCAAUAACGUUUCGGCUUAAGGAUCACAACCUCAAAGCGAAGCUCGAUUUCUUCAUCGGAGCUGUCGGGUUCACCCCCAGAGACAUUCUAAACAAUUGGCAGAUAAGCUUCAGCCUGGAUGGGAGGCUAAGGCCGCGGUACAAUCUGGUGAGGGGGUUGCAAUCCAAAGGAUUGGUGCCUCAAGAUGUCAAUUUCACAAAAGUUUUCAUGAUGGCCGUGGAGAGAUUCAACCAGGAGUAUGUGCACAAGUUCGUGACCAGCGAGGGCUCUAACCUUGUUCGGUCUUACAUGAGUAGCCCAGCGUUUGGGAAGGAAAUGUCGGAGAACGGCUCUGAUUCUUCACACUCCGAGUAGCAAAAUUCGAUCUUUUAUUAAGUAGAAGAUUUUGGCAAUCGGGUGAGUCCGGUUACUGGAACAACAAGUCGUAUGCUGAAUCGCUGAUAAGUUGGAUUGAAUGCUGAACAGGAUUGACCCAUAAGUAUAAUGUUUGUCUAUUCUCAGGUCUUAAUUAUAUAUCGGUCAUUUUCGAGAUUGUGCUUUCCAACUGCACAAGCAGGCUCCAUUUACAGUACGAAACUUUGAUUAGGAGAAGCCAAGGACUUGUAGCAGAAUGCGAGUCUUUACUGCAUAACCUCUCCAUUAAAGGAAAAAGAUUCCUCCCCCCUUCAAUUGCCUUGCAUGGUUGGAUUGUACAGAAACCAUUUGCAGGGGGGAACAAUCAGUGCCAUGGGCUUUAAAUGGCACGAUUGCGACUGAUAACAAUUUUAAUGGGGCCGAGACAAAAGUGCUUCUCUUACUUGCCCGAGUUGUUGGUCCAGUCCUUUGGACCAGUCAUGGAAAAAUCAGAGUAGAAGCUUUUUUUACAUGUUACUAAAAGAUUGCCUGUGCAGUGAGGCAUAUUGAAUUUAUUAGGGUGGGGACAUAAUUGUGACGGUCAUUUUGCAAUAUUUACAACUAGAAAUUGGUCAAUAAGUUUUCAUGAUCCGAUGAUGACCGAUGUAGGGGUAAAGAGAAAUAUUUGGACAAUGCUAUGUUUGGGAAGAUUAGAUGCCGUGACCCAAAGGAUGUUCCUGAAAGGAAAAAGGCAUCUUGUGGAUUUCUGUUCAUUUCUAUAUAUGUUCAAUUAAAAGAGAUGUGACAUUCUAACUGUCCCGCAUUAGAUUAGAUGAGAACGAAAUUAUGAUUUGAUGUAUAACAAACUAUGAACCCUAAUAAUAAUGACUGGGUUGAAGUA
Molecule: RNA transcript, 2274 nt
Organism: Ananas comosus (pineapple)
Lineage: Eukaryota; Viridiplantae; Streptophyta; Magnoliopsida; Poales; Bromeliaceae
Exons: 3
Source: RefSeq, a predicted model, not a curated record